Arachis ipaensis is the source of this 1194-nucleotide non-coding RNA. The record is from RefSeq and is a predicted model, not a curated record. Lineage: Eukaryota; Viridiplantae; Streptophyta; Magnoliopsida; Fabales; Fabaceae.
GGGUAUAGUUAUAUUCAUUUUAUUAUUUGUUACACAGAAAUUUCAUAACAGCGUACUUGCAAUCCUCAACAGGUGGCCAAUGGCAGCAAACUUCAGAAUACAAACAACUUUAACAGACUAGAGAUACAGAAAAAAUCACAAUUCAAGAAGCACACACACACAAUCACAGACAACACAUAUCACAAAGAAGUAUGCAUAAACAAGCAAGACAAACAAUGCAUAUGAUGCAUGCCUUUCCUGUAGCUGAUGAUAUCAUCUGUCGGUUAUAUAGCCAACCCAACAUGUCCGGUAGCUAAGCCGAGCACAGUCUCUCUGUUGCGCCUUAAUACCACACUACAAAAAAUUUUGGUAGAAACGGCGGUUUUUUUGUAUUUACGGCGGUUUGAACCGUCAUUAUUACCAAUAAUGGCGGUUUCAUAAAGCGAUGUAAUUCUGAGCGCCAUUCUGGUUAUUACGGCAGUUUUCUGAAAACCGCCACAAUUCCCUGGGUUAAAACGGCGGUUUUUGAAUAGGUUAAAACGGCGGUUCAAAUCACCGUUAUUUCCAGGGUUAAAAUGGCAGUUUUUGGAUAGGUUAAAACGGCGGUUUGAACCGCCAUUAUUACCCUGGCAGAGUGGCGUUUUGGUUGGUUAAAACGGCAUUUUUGAAUCGCCAUUUUUACCCUGACAGUAGCGUUUUGGUUGGUUAAAAUGGCAUUUUUGAACCGACGUUUUACCCUGACAGUGACAUUUUUUAUCGUUUAAAAAAAUAAUUUUUACCGUCUUUUUUAUCGCGUUAAAUAAAUAAUUGUGAUUAAAAUUUCACAAUAGCAAAAAAUCAUAAUCCAUAAAUGAAAUAUUAUAUAAGUCAUAAACAAAAUAUUAAUAUAAUAUAUAAUUUUUUAUUAUUGAAUAUCAAAAGUAAUAACUCCUAUACAAAACCUUGUCUUACUAAACUUACCAAAAUACAAGCAUUGCAAUAAACACUAAUCAGUCAAAUCUACCAUCGAGUUCCCUAAACUAUGUUAAUAUCUAAUAAUGUAUUUAAACCAUCUAAUAAGUGCUAUUUUUACUACUUAGAAUAUGAACAUACAAGACAAUUAGCUUAGAUAAGUGAUGAUGAAUAAAAUUUAGAGGCCAAAAGUUUCCUCCUUUUGUAAUUAACUUUAAAACAAGCAUGCCUUAGUUUCUUGGUCUCUUGUGUGAGUUUCAUCCC